RNAcentral lists this ribosomal RNA (405 nucleotides) under uncultured bacterium. Its description in RNAcentral is "partial 16S ribosomal RNA". It matches the Rfam family "Bacterial small subunit ribosomal RNA", at positions 30 to 526 of the family's 1533-position model. The record is from RNAcentral.
AUUGAACGCUAGCGGGAUGCUUUACACAUGCAAGUCGAACGAGUGGCGGACGGGUGAGUAAUAUAUCGGAACGUGCCCAGUAGCGGGGGAUAACUACUCGAAAGAGUGGCUAAUACCGCAUACUCUUGGAGCGGCCGAUAUCGGAUUAGCUAGUUGGUGGGGUAAAGGCUCACCAAGGCAACGAUCCCGAGCUGGUUUUAGAGGACGACCCGCCAAAACGGGACUUAGACAAGGGCCAAGACCCCACGGGAGGCAGCAGUGGGGAAUAUUGGACAAUGGGGGAAACCCUGAUCCAGCCAUCCCGCGUGUAUGAGAAGGCCUUCGGGUUGUAAAGUACUUUUGGCAGAGAAGCGGUAUCUGCAGAAUAAGCACCGGCUAACUACGUGCCAGCAGCCGCGGUAAUAC